GACGAACGCUGGCGGCAUGCCUAACACAUGCAAGUCGAGCGAGCUGAUCCCUUCGGGGUGAAGCUAGCGGCGGACGGGCGAGUAACACGUGGGCAACCUGCCUCAUAGAGGGGAAUAGCCUUCCGAAAGGAAGAUUAAUACCGCAUAAGAUUGUAGCUUCGCAUGAAGCAGCAAUUAAAGGAGCAAUCCGCUAUGAGAUGGGCCCGCGGCGCAUUAGCUAGUUGGUGAGGUAACGGCUCACCAAGGCGACGAUGCGUAGCCGACCUGAGAGGGUGAUCGGCCACAUUGGGACUGAGACACGGCCCAGACUCCUACGGGAGGCAGCAGUGGGGAAUAUUGCACAAUGGGGGAAACCCUGAUGCAGCAAUGCCGCGUGAGUGAUGACGGCCUUCGGGUUGUAAAGCUCUGUCUUCGGGGACGAUAAUGACGGUACCCGAGGAGGAAGCCACGGCUAACUACGUGCCAGCAGCCGCAGUAA
RNAcentral lists this ribosomal RNA (478 nucleotides) under uncultured bacterium. RNAcentral describes it as "partial 16S ribosomal RNA". It matches the Rfam family "Bacterial small subunit ribosomal RNA", at positions 28 to 523 of the family's 1533-position model. The record is from RNAcentral.